Molecule: non-coding RNA, 86 nt
Organism: Daucus carota subsp. sativus
Lineage: Eukaryota; Viridiplantae; Streptophyta; Magnoliopsida; Apiales; Apiaceae
Source: Rfam
GAAGGAAAUGAGGAAUAAUAGAUUCCCUAUUGGUUUGAUUGCUGGAAUGAUGGCAACAAUCAUGUAUUAGCUCUAUCUGAUCCUUU